Mycobacterium kansasii is the source of this 75-nucleotide non-coding RNA. NCBI's taxonomy places the organism in Bacteria, Bacillati, Actinomycetota, Actinomycetes, Mycobacteriales, Mycobacteriaceae. The record is from Rfam.
CUUGAUCGAGCCCACCCACAACGGCUGCUCUGCAGGACGGCCUUGCCCGUACGUGGCCAACAACGCAUUCGCUUC